AUUGAACGCUGGCGGCAGGCCUAACACAUGCAAGUCGAACGGUAACAGGAAGCAGCUUGCUGCUUUGCUGACGAGUGGCGGACGGGUGAGUGAUGUCUGGGAAACUGCCCGAUGGAGGGGGAUAACUACUGGAAACGGUAGCUAAUACCGCAUAACGUCGCAAGACCAAAGAGGGGGACCUUAGGGCCUCUUGCCAUCGGAUGUGCCCAGAUGGGAUUAGCUAGUAGGUGGGGUAACGGCUCACCAAGGCGACGAUCCCUAGCUGGUCUGAGAGGAUGACCAGCCACACUGGAACUGAGACACGGUCCAGACUCCUACGGGAGGCAGCAGUGGGGAAUAUUGCACAAUGGGCGCAAGCCUGAUGCAGCCAUGCCGCGUGUAUGAAGAAGGCCUUCGGGUUGUAAAGUACUUUCAGCGGGGAGGAAGGGAGUAAAGUUAAUACCUUUGCUCAUUGACGUUACCCGCAGAAGAAGCACCGGCUAACUCCGUG
Molecule: ribosomal RNA, 490 nt
Filed under: uncultured bacterium
Lineage: Bacteria
Description: partial 16S ribosomal RNA
Rfam family: Bacterial small subunit ribosomal RNA
Source: RNAcentral